This is a non-coding RNA of Oryzias latipes (Japanese medaka), 165 nucleotides long. The record is from RefSeq and is a predicted model, not a curated record. Lineage: Eukaryota; Metazoa; Chordata; Actinopteri; Beloniformes; Adrianichthyidae.
AGACACCAACACCUCUGCCUGUGUCCAACGAGAACAGUCAGAUGCAGAUGAGCCAGAGGUUCCUCCCCUAACAAGAACAGACAGUGUAUUUCUCACUAAAGACUACUUUACCAAGCAUGCCAUGGUUCAAGAUCUGUCAGACGUCCCCUCAAGCUGCAUAGAAAC